RNAcentral lists this ribosomal RNA (913 nucleotides) under uncultured bacterium. RNAcentral describes it as "bacterial SSU rRNA". It matches the Rfam family "Bacterial small subunit ribosomal RNA", at positions 33 to 928 of the family's 1533-position model. The record is from RNAcentral.
ACGCUGGCGGCGUGCCUAAUACAUGCAAGCAGAACGCUGAAGAGAGGAGCUUGCUCUUCUUGGAUGAGUUGCGAACGGGUGAGUAACGCGUAGGUAACCUGCCUUGUAGCGGGGGAUAACUAUUGGAAACGAUAGCUAAUACCGCAUAACAAUGGAUGACACAUGUCAUUUAUUUGAGAGGGGCAAUUGCUCCACUACAAGAUGGACCUGCGUUGUAUUAGCUAGUAGGUGAGGUAACGGCUCACCUAGGCGACGAUACAUAGCCGACCUGAGAGGGUGAUCGGCCACACUGCGACUGAGACACGGCCCAGACUCCUACGGGAGGCAGCAGUAGGGAAUCUUCGGCAAUGGGGGCAACCCUGACCGAGCAACGCCGCGUGAGUGAAGAAGGUUUUCGGAUCGUAAAGCUCUGUUGUAAGUCAAGAACGAGUGUGAGAGUGGAAAGUUCACACUGUGACGGUAGCUUACCAGAAAGGGACGGCUAACUACGUGCCAGCAGCCGCGGUAAUACGUAGGUCCCGAGCGUUGUCUGGAUUUAUUGGGCGUAAAGCGAGCGCAGGCGGUUUGAUAAGUCUGAAGUUAAAGGCUGUGGCUCAACCAUAGUUCGCUUUGGAAACUGUCAAACUUGAGUGCAGAAGGGGAGAGUGGAAUUCCAUGUGUAGCGGUGAAAUGCGUAGAUAUAUGGAGGAACACCGGUGGCGAAAGCGGCUCUCUGGUCUGUAACUGACGCUGAGGCUCGAAAGCGUGGGGAGCGAGCAGGAUUAGAUACCCUGGUAGUCCACGCCGUAAACGAUGAGUGCUAGGUGUUGGAUCCUUUCCGGGAUUCAGUGCCGCAGCUAACGCAUUAAGCACUCCGCCUGGGGAGUACGACCGCAAGGUUGAAACUCAAAGGAAUUGACGGGGGCCCGCACAA